RNAcentral lists this long non-coding RNA (632 nucleotides) under Capsicum annuum. RNAcentral describes it as "long non-coding RNA (CANN_LNC007575)". Lineage: Eukaryota; Viridiplantae; Streptophyta; Magnoliopsida; Solanales; Solanaceae. The record is from RNAcentral.
GGUACUGAGACUUGUCUCUCUUUCGACUCAUGUUGUACGGAAUGAUUUUUUAUGUAUCGAAUGAUUUGUUGUGUAGUAGCAGCACAUUGUCAUCCAUAUCCUUCCAAAUUGCACCCUUUCCCGGUUUCUCCUCCUGUCUUGACAUCAAAACCGAUCUGUUCUAUAGUUUUUACUUGGCCUCUCCGAGACACUUGUGCUUAAGUUUCUGCAACUAUAUAUACCUAGUUUAUUGGUCGAUUGUAAAUGGAAUUUCGCUCCUUGCCAUGACUUAUGAUUACGACAAAAUAUCCAUUGUAACCACCUUGCAUCCCAACCUUCUCGACUUUCUUUGGUGCCAAAGACCAAUGGUUACGAUAGACCCUAGACUCAAAAUAGACCACGACACAUAUCUGCAACUAUAUAUACCUAGUUUAUUGGGCGGUUGUAUUUGGAAUUUUGCUCCUUGACAUGACUUAUGAUUAUGACAACAUAUCCAUUGUAACCACCUUGCAUCCCAACUUUCUCGACUUUCUUUGGUGCCAAAGACCAAUGGUUACGAUAGACCCUAGAGUCGAAAUAGACCGUGACUUAUGAUUGUUCUGUUUAUAUCAUCGUGUAUCUUCUAAUCGAACUAUUGUCUUCUAGGAAUCGGG